RNAcentral lists this unclassified non-coding RNA (317 nucleotides) under plant metagenome. RNAcentral describes it as "partial contains 5.8S ribosomal RNA, internal transcribed spacer 2, and large subunit ribosomal RNA". The stretch from base 1 to 105 matches the Rfam family "5.8S ribosomal RNA", at positions 50 to 154 of the family's 154-position model. The record is from RNAcentral.
GAAAUGCGAUAAGUAAUGUGAAUUGCAGAAUUCAGUGAAUCAUCGAAUCUUUGAACGCACAUUGCGCCCGCCAGUAUUCUGGCGGGCAUGCCUGUCCGAGCGUCAUUUCAACCAUCAAGCCCCCGGGCUUGUGUGUUGGGUCGUCGUCCCCUCCGGGGGACGGGCCCGAAAGGCAGCGGCGGCACCGCGUCCGGUCCUCGAGCGUAUGGGGCUUUGUCACCCGCUCGAUAAGGACCGGCCGGGCGCCAGCCGGCGUCUCCAACCUUUUUUUCUCAGGUUGACCUCGGAUCAGGUAGGGAUACCCGCUGAACUUAAGC